CGAUCUAUGCCUAGGCACUGAAAGGCGAUGAAGGACGUGGUAUACUGCGAUAAGUUUCGGGGAGCUGUAUGCAGGCUUUGAUCCGAAAAUUUCCGAAUGGGGAAACCCACCACUUUAUGUGGUACUUCAAACUGAAUUCAUAGGUUUGAAGAGCUAACCCGGAGAACUGAAACAUCUAAGUAACCAGAGGAAAAGAAAUCAAUUGAGAUUCCGUUAGUAGUGGCGAGCGAACGCGGACUAGGCCAGUAGUUUUGUUAAAAAAAUUUGAAUAGUUUGGAAAUGCUAACCAUAGAGGGUGAUAGUCCCGUAUGAGUAAUGUUUAACAAAAUUCUUGAGUAAAGCGGGACACGUGAAAUCCUGCUCGAAUAUAGGGGGACCACCCUCUAAGCCUAAAUACUCUUCAGUGACCGAUAGUGAACUAGUACCGUGAGGGAAAGGUGAAAAGAACCCCUAUUAGGGGAGUGAAAUAGAACCUGAAACUGCAUGCCUACAAUCAGUCGAAGCUCUUUUUAGAGUGACGGCGUACCUUUUGUAUAAUGGGUCAGUGACUUAAUUUAUAAAGCAAGCUUAAGCCAUCUAGGUGUAGGCGCAGCGAAAGCAAGUCUUAAUAGGGCGAUUAGUUUAAUGAAUUAGACCCGAAAACGAAUGAGCUUACCAUGAGCAGGUUGAAAGUUGGGUAACACCAACCGGAGGACCGAACCAGUUGACGUUGAAAAGUCUUUGGAUGACUUGUGGUAAGGGGUGAAAGGCCAACCAAAUUCGUAGAUAGCUGGUUUUCCGCGAAAACUAUUUAGGUAGUGCGUUGAAUAAAUAGAUGUUUAGAGGUAGAGCACUAAAUGGGCUAGGGGGAAGAGAUUCUUACCAAACCUAAUAAAACUCCGAAUGCCAAGCGUUGUUCUUCAUCAGACAGACUGUGGGUGCUAAGGUCCAUGGUCGAGAGGGAAAGAGCCCAGACCACCAGAUAAGGUCCCCAAAUUAUGAUUAAGUGUGAAAGGAUGUGGAAAUUCCUUAACAGCCGGGAGGUUGGCUUAGAAGCAGCCAUCCUUUAAAGAUAGCGUAACAGCUCACCGGUCUAAUAGAGUUUCUGCGCCGAAGAUGUAACGGGGCUAAAAUCAUAUACCGAAUCUGUGGGUUUAUAAAAUUUUCGAAUUUUAUAAGCGGUAGCGGAACGUUCUGUAAGCCUGUGAAGGAGUACCCGUGAGGGACUCUGGAGGUAUCAGAAGUGCGAAUGCUGACAUAAGUAACGAUAAAAGAAGUGAAAAACUUCUUCGCCGAAAAUCCAAGGGUUUCUGCGCAAGGUUAAUCCGCGCAGAGUUAGUCGGCACCUAAGGCGAGGGCGAAAGCCGUAGUCGAUGGAAAUAAGGUUAAUAUUCCUUAACCAGAUGGUAGUGACGGAUCUUGUAAGUUGUGUACUCUUAAUGGAUUGAGUAUGCCGCGAAAAGGUUCCAAGAAAUAGCUCCAUCAUUAGACCGUACCCUAAACCGACACAGGUGGAUUAAUAGAGUAUAUUUAGGCGCUUGAGAGAAUGAUGUUGAAGGAACUCGGCAAAAUGCUUCCGUAACUUCGGGAUAAGGAAGACCUGUUUUUAGGCAACUAGAGAUGGGUGGCACAAGCCAGGGAGAAGCGACUGUUUAUCAAAAACACAGGGCUCUGCUAACACGUAAGUGGAUGUAUAGGGUCUGACGCCUGCCCGGUGCUGGAAGGUUAAUGCGGUUGGUGCAAGCUAACUUCUGAAGCCCCAGUAAACGGCGGCCGUAACUAUAACGGUCCUAAGGUAGCGAAAUUCCUUGUCGGGUAAGUUCCGACCUGCAUGAAUGGCGUAACGAUUUCUCCGCUGUCUCCAACAUCAACUCAGUGAAAUUGAAUUCUCCGUGAAGAUGCGGAGUUC
RNAcentral lists this ribosomal RNA (1888 nucleotides) under marine metagenome. RNAcentral describes it as "bacterial LSU rRNA". It matches the Rfam family "Bacterial large subunit ribosomal RNA", at positions 22 to 2069 of the family's 2925-position model. The record is from RNAcentral.